CAUGAUUUUCAUUACAUCCUCAUAUACUUAGAGCCCAACAUCUUUAAGUCUAAAAAAAGUGACCAAAACAACCUUCCGUCAACUUUUCCAUCUUCUCCGAGGGAAUCUUUUUCCUCACUUCAGUUAUCUCUCUGUUUUGUUCAAAAAAGUUCCACUCUUCAAAGGUUUU
Lycium ferocissimum is the source of this 169-nucleotide long non-coding RNA. RefSeq lists it as uncharacterized. The record is from RefSeq and is a predicted model, not a curated record. NCBI's taxonomy places the organism in Eukaryota, Viridiplantae, Streptophyta, Magnoliopsida, Solanales, Solanaceae. The transcript has 2 exons.